Molecule: long non-coding RNA, 2219 nt
Filed under: Octopus vulgaris (common octopus)
Lineage: Eukaryota; Metazoa; Mollusca; Cephalopoda; Octopoda; Octopodidae
Source: RNAcentral
AUAACAGUAUGCACACUCAGAACUAUGUAGAUCCGACAAAUAACGACGUCUAUACGCAAAAUGUGGAGAAUAUAUGGAUGCAGGUAAAAAGAAAAUUACGACGUCAAUUUGGAAUCUGAGACAAUUUAUUGGUUUCAUAUUUACACGAGUUUAUAUGGAGGAAUUCUGUAACAAUGAAAAAAACUUUUGUUCACUUUUUGGUGGCUAUAGGCAAUGUCUACGUUGUUUAACAGUAAGUUGGCUUAUUUAACUCCCCUUGUUAUUGCCCCCUUUAAUUUUUAUUUACUUUUUUUAAAACAUCAUAUACUGAAAGUUUACCCGUCUUUGUAAUCUCGAAAAGUAUCGUAACCAUUGGUCCUACCGUCUGGCUGUGAAGAGGGGACAGACAAACAGACAUAACGCCCAUUAUAGUAAGAUAGCAAAUCUGCCUAUCUACGUUGGGAAAUAACGGGAUAGUAUCGCAAAUCUAAGCCCUUUAAAAUCACGACCUAUACGUGGGUGGGGGGGGUGGAGGGAGGAUCCAGAAUUAAUUCUCGUCGCUGGAAUUUUAACAAAAAAAAUCAAAGGUGAUUUAUUAAUGCAAAACUCAGUAUCCAGUAAAUAGUCAUACUUUUUCCCAUUUUGUCAAAUUGAAUAGAUCCCAUUUUUUUCGCUAAAAAUCUUCCUACCUCCUUCGUAAUCCCGAAAAAACACCGUGACUAUUGAUCCAGCUGUUUCACCGUGAAGAGGGAACAAACAGACGGACGUAAUGCCCAUUAUGGUAAGAUUUAGUAAUUAUGUAUUUAAUUGUAAACUUUAAAGCGAACUGUAAUAAUGGGCGCUUUUCAUUUUUGCAGGAUGUCACCCUCUGUUCGUGAUAACCGGUGGACGUAUAAAAUACGAGAAAGUACACAUAAAACCGGUGUGCAAUUAAACAAAACUAAUUGAUGACGAAAACCAACUCAAGAUUAAGAUAACCGCAAAUUAUUUCAAGUUAAUUACGUGGUUUAUUACACCUUACAGAAAGGCAUGAUUACAAUAUUUCACUUCAGUAAAACUUCAACCAUACAUCAAUGUAACACGCAGAGUAUGACAAAACAAAAAUAAAACUCCUACGUGGAUUGUUUAUAUAGAUGCAAAUGUAAAUAUAUACGACAUUUCGAUAACGAAAAUAAACAAAUAUGCAAAUUAAAAAUAGCUACGUACCAGAAUAUGGCUGGUAACAUACAGCCUGUAGUAAAGCGCAAGAUAUGUCAACGAAUAUAGACUGAUGUUUAUUUAGUUCAAUAAUUAAGAUGCACAAAGUGCUCGGUGCUUUAUUUAUACCAAGUGUGAUAACUCUUACUAUCGAGAAACCAAGUUAGGUAACUCUUGCAUUCUUGUAACCAAGAGAGAUAACUUUCUUGGUUCCACGUCUACAAGAAAAAGAGGUCCUCGCCGAAAAUAAACUUUUCGGUAAAAGCAAUGUUUUUACCUUGGAUAUCAAGAAAGCCUUUCACCGUAUCUGGCAUGGAAAUUUCCUAUCAAACUUCUCACCCAAGAGUUACCACCACCUCUUAUCUCUUGGAUUGGUAGCUGCCUUUCAGAUCGCAAAAUCGUGACACAGCCUCUUCCUUCAGACUCAACAUUUAAAAAAAAGUAAAUAAAUAAGAAAAAGAUAGCUAUUCUAAAGACCCUCAAUAUUCCACUUUUUCACCAACUUCUGCGGGGAAAACCUGCACAUAGUCAUCACGAUUUCCCAUCCAAACCAUUAACCGGUAGCAACUCGCAUUAAAUAUGGAAAGCACUAAUGUCAGUUCUCAGUAGUCCUAGACUAGAAAGACAUAAAAAUAUAUAAACAGUUUUCUUUAAUUCUCUGACAACCUCAUAACGAAUCGGUAUUGUAUUAUUGACUAUGAGGUUAUUUUAAGUUACUGCAGAUAUAUAUAUAUGUGUCUUCAUUAAACAAUCGUUUUGAUGAAAAACUGGCGAAAUAUUAAUUUUAUUGGAAUAUAAUAUGUAUGUAUAUGAUACAUAUAUAAUACAAAUCCACGUUAAAAAUACAAACUUAAAAUCUGGAAAAAAGUGGGAAAAGAGGAACAAAGAAAAAAGAGGAAAAAAACCACAUUUAUUCAACACCAAGUGCCUCAACUGGUUGCUCAUCACAAGCUUCAACAGAACCUACUGAAGCAAGUCAACAUGCUUGCAGCGUUACCUUGGGCGAUUGCGAGGCUAACGCAUUGGAACAGCCAGGGUACCCU